Molecule: ribosomal RNA, 292 nt
Filed under: uncultured bacterium
Lineage: Bacteria
Description: partial 16S ribosomal RNA
Rfam family: Bacterial small subunit ribosomal RNA
Source: RNAcentral
GUGUCAGCAGCCGCGGUAACACGGGGGGAGCAAGCGUUGUUCGGAAUCACUGGGCGUAAAGGGCGUGUAGGCGGUUCAGUAAGUGGAAUGUGAAAGCCCCCGGCUUACCCGGGGAUCUGCAUUCCAAACUACUGGGCUUGAGUACGGGAGAGGAUGAGGGAAUUCCUGGUGUAGCGGUGAAAUGCGUAGAUAUCAGGAGGAACACCGGUGGCGAAGGCGCUCAUCUGGCCCGAUACUGACGCUGAGGCGCGAAAGCUAGGGGAGCAAACGGGAUUAGAUACCCCGGUAGUCC